This is a long non-coding RNA of Ornithodoros turicata, 1603 nucleotides long. RefSeq lists it as uncharacterized. The transcript is spliced from 2 exons. The record is from RefSeq and is a predicted model, not a curated record. NCBI's taxonomy places the organism in Eukaryota, Metazoa, Arthropoda, Arachnida, Ixodida, Argasidae.
CCGAACAAUGCCAACAAGAUAACUGUCCCUAAGAGCAACGUUUGCGACUCAAUGUGUGCGGAAGCGACCACUCGAAGUGGAGUGACGCACGCUCUCACGUGCGGAUGGUCUAGACACAUUAUUGCAGGAAGAGCACAAAAAAAAAAACAAAGAAAAACAAAAAAACAGGAAACAAAGGCCAACGGAUGUUAAGAUGCGAAGUGCGUAAAAGAUACCUGUACUCUCACUACAGCCACAGCACAGGAAGUACCCGUUCGAGCACCCCAAGCAUGAAGUAUUUGUUGUGCCUGUGCGUUCUCGUCGCCGGCGCCUGCGCCCUGAUUGAAGACCCCGAAGACAUCUUCGGCACCGACGCCGAAGGCUUUUUCUCGAGACGACAUCCAAGGCUGUUCAGGGCACUUUUGGUACCACGAGUCGGGCGACCCGUCGUCAAGCCACAGCUCGUUUCUUCUCCUGGCUCAUUCUCCUGGGACAUUCCGACGAGGGGAUCUAACGUCGUUCGUCGCUCACUUUUGUGGAUUCCCCCACCUGAGGACACACAGCCAGCCAAGCCGAGCAGGCCAUCAGAGCCCUUUGAGAAAAGACCAUUCAGGCCGAAGCCCAUGCCCUCGGACUAUGAUUGAACUGUCAUUGCACAGACACUCUGAGACACUCUGUACAUUUUGCGUUGUUUACAACCGGUUUGUAGUACCAUUGAGCCAAAAGUCAUUGCUCUUCUGAUCAAAAAUACAAAGUGAUAUUUGUUAGCACGUCUGAUUUGUCGUUGUAUAUACCAUCAGAUCAAUACAAUAUUUUUUUUUAAUAUAUCUGACGGAGAGCUACCAAAGUUCAGGAUAAGGCUGACGUGCUCGAUAACCUAUGUUGUUUUCCAAGACUGCAUUUCUUGGUCUCGUAAGGAGGGGCAAAAUUUGAUUCAAUUCGCGGUAGCCCGUGUUUUAUAUAACUUUUCUUUUGUCAGCCCUCGCAAAUGUACAACACAGCAACAGCCCGCAGGCUAGCUGGUGUAAUUGCGACUACGACAGCACCUCCUUGAGUUUGGCGAGUUCGGAAAUCAAGGACACAAGAAAGAAGAAAACAAAAUCACCAUAAUUAAAACAACCCUUUUGGGCUUGUUGAUGACAGUCUUUUGUGGCAUGUGAGUAAAGUUGUUGAAAUUGAGCGCUAGCUGUUGUGUGUGUCUUGUGUUUGUCCUGUUUUUAGCGCUUUUACGUUAUGAAAGAAUCACCAUCACCGACAGUGCGCCUUCUACACUCUAAACAAAGGAUCAAUUUUCGUCCUCUUCUGGACUGAAUGCGUGCCAGUUUGCCAGCUUAUGCGGUGAUUAGAGACCAUUUGCACUGCUGGGGACUGAAUUUCAGGGUUAGGGAAGUAAACCGGGGAAUAAAUGCAAUCUAAAGGACUGUAGAUGCUGGGUUUUCUUUAAAUAUUAUUUGAUGUGAUACGUCGGAAAUGAAAGGAAUUUGAAAUUAUUAUAAGUGGUAUACCAAUUGUACAUCUUGCCAUGCUGUCUGCAUGGCCCAGCCCGCUAGCCUGGCCUAGACGGGUCGAUAUGCUUGUUUUGUGUCGUGUAAACCUGAAUAAAGAUUUAUUAUUAUUAUUUCUA